Molecule: ribosomal RNA, 1331 nt
Filed under: Myroides odoratimimus
Lineage: Bacteria; Pseudomonadati; Bacteroidota; Flavobacteriia; Flavobacteriales; Flavobacteriaceae
Description: bacterial SSU rRNA
Rfam family: Bacterial small subunit ribosomal RNA
Source: RNAcentral
CGCUGGCGGCAGGCCUAACACAUGCAAGUCGAGGGGUAGAAAGAGCUUGCUUUUUUGAGACCGGCGCACGGGUGAGUAACGCGUAUGCAACCUACCUUAUACAGGGGAAUAGCCCGAAGAAAUUCGGAUUAAUGCUCCAUGGUUUAUCGAUAUGGCAUCGUAUUGAUAAUAAAGAUUUAUCGGUAUAAGAUGGGCAUGCGUAUCAUUAGCUAGUUGGUGUGGUAACGGCAUACCAAGGCAACGAUGAUUAGGGGUCCUGAGAGGGAGAUCCCCCACACUGGUACUGAGACACGGACCAGACUCCUACGGGAGGCAGCAGUGAGGAAUAUUGGUCAAUGGAGGCAACUCUGAACCAGCCAUGCCGCGUGCAGGAUGACGGUCCUAUGGAUUGUAAACUGCUUUUGUACAGGAAGAAACCUCCCUACGAGUAGGGACUUGACGGUACUGUAAGAAUAAGGAUCGGCUAACUCCGUGCCAGCAGCCGCGGUAAUACGGAGGAUCCGAGCGUUAUCCGGAAUUAUUGGGUUUAAAGGGUUCGUAGGCGGCUUUGUAAGUCAGUGGUGAAAUUUCCUAGCUUAACUAGGACACUGCCAUUGAUACUGCAGAGCUUGAAUAGUAUGGAAGUAACUAGAAUAUGUAGUGUAGCGGUGAAAUGCUUAGAUAUUACAUGGAAUACCAAUUGCGAAGGCAGGUUACUACGUAUUUAUUGACGCUGAUGAACGAAAGCGUGGGGAGCGAACAGGAUUAGAUACCCUGGUAGUCCACGCCGUAAACGAUGGAUACUAGCUGUUCGGUUUUCGGACUGAGUGGCUAAGCGAAAGUGAUAAGUAUCCCACCUGGGGAGUACGUUCGCAAGAAUGAAACUCAAAGGAAUUGACGGGGGCCCGCACAAGCGGUGGAGCAUGUGGUUUAAUUCGAUGAUACGCGAGGAACCUUACCAGGGCUUAAAUGUAGAUUGACAGAUUUGGAAACAGAUUUUUCUUCGGACAAUUUACAAGGUGCUGCAUGGUUGUCGUCAGCUCGUGCCGUGAGGUGUCAGGUUAAGUCCUAUAACGAGCGCAACCCCUAUUGUUAGUUACCAGCGCGUAGAGGCGGGGACUCUAGCAAGACUGCCGGUGCAAACCGUGAGGAAGGUGGGGAUGACGUCAAAUCAUCACGGCCCUUACGUCCUGGGCUACACACGUGCUACAAUGGCAAGUACAGAAAGCAGCUACCUGGCAACAGGAUGCGAAUCUCCAAAGCUUGUCUCAGUUCGGAUUGGAGUCUGCAACUCGACUCUAUGAAGCUGGAAUCGCUAGUAAUCGGAUAUCAGCCAUGAUCCGGUGAAUACG